Molecule: ribosomal RNA, 756 nt
Filed under: uncultured bacterium
Lineage: Bacteria
Description: bacterial SSU rRNA
Rfam family: Bacterial small subunit ribosomal RNA
Source: RNAcentral
AGAGUUUGAUCAUGGCUCAGAAUCAACGCUGGCGGCGCGCUUAACACAUGCAAGUCGCACGAGAAAGUGGAGCAAUCCAUGAGUAAAGUGGCGUACGGGUGAGUAACACGUGGAUCAUCUACCUCUUAGUGGGGAAUAACCCUGGGAAACCGGGGCUAAUACCGCAUAAGCCUGAGAAGGGAAAGCAGCAAUGCGCUGAGAGAGGAGUCCGCGGCCGAUUAGCUAGUUGGUAGGGUAAUGGCCUACCAAGGCAAUGAUCGGUAGCCGGCCUGAGAGGGCACACGGCCACACUGGCACUGAAACACGGGCCAGACUCCUACGGGAGGCAGCAGUGGGGAAUCUUGCACAAUGGAGGAAACUCUGAUGCAGCGACGCCGCGUGAGCGAUGAAGCCCUUCGGGGUGUAAAGCUCUUUCGACGGGAACGAUAAUGACGGUACCCGGAGAAGAAGCUGCGGCUAACUACGUGCCAGCAGCCGCGGUAAUACGUAGGCAGCAAGCGUUGUUCGGAAUUACUGGGCGUAAAGAGUGUGUAGGCGGUUCUCUAUGUUCGGUGUGAAAUCUCCCGGCUUAACUGGGAGGGUGCGCCGAAAACUGGAGGGCUUGAGUAUGGGAGAGGAAAGCGGAAUUCCUGGUGUAGCGGUGAAAUGCGUAGAUAUCAGGAGGAACACCUGCGGUGUAGACGGCUUUCUGGACCAUCACUGACGCUGAGACACGAAAGCGUGGGUAGCAAACAGGAUUAGAUACCCCCGUAGUCC